GACAUUAUAUCUUGUUGGGCCGGC
This 24-nucleotide non-coding RNA is filed under the name Arabidopsis thaliana (thale cress). The record is from RNAcentral. Lineage: Eukaryota; Viridiplantae; Streptophyta; Magnoliopsida; Brassicales; Brassicaceae.